CUGGGUGUCUAUGAAAUGGGAAUUCCAGUAGGAAAAAUGUGUUUGUAUACAGUUUGUGCCUGAAUAUGGCCUGAUAGAUGCCUACGGUGUGUAUUGAUGUGGGAACUGAUAAUAUCGCACUCUUAAAAGACACAUUUUACAUAGGCUUGUACCAGAAACAAGAUUGCACACAACAGUAUGAUGACCUGAUUGAUGAGUUUAUGAAAGCUAUUACUGACAGAUAUGGCUGGAACACACUCAUUCAAUUUGAAGAUUUUGGAAAUCAUAAUGCAUUCAGGUUCUUGAAAAAACAUCAAUAAAAAUACUGCACUUUCAAUGAUGAUAUUCAAGGGACAGCUGCAGUAGCUCUAGCAGAUCUUCUUGCAACACAAAAAGUUAUUAAUAAACCAGUCUCCGAACACAAAAUCUUAUUCCUUGGAACAGGAGAGACUACUCCUGGAAUUGCAAAUCUUAAAAAAGUAUGUCUAUGGUAGAAAAUGGCCUGUCAGAAGAAGAGGCUCAAAAGAAAAUCUGGAUGUUUGACAAGUAUGGUUUAUUAGUUAAGGGGCGGAAAGCAAAAAUAGAUAGUUAUCAGGAACCAUUUACUUACCCAGUCCCAGAGAGCAUACCUGAUACUUUUGAAGAUGUGGUGAAUACAAUGAGGACUUCAACUACAAUUGGAGUUGCAGGCGCUGGCCAUCUUUUCACUCCUGAUGUAAUCAGAGCCAUGGCCCCUAUCAGUGAAAGGCCUGUAAUAUUUGCAUUAAGUAAUCCUACAGCACAGGCAGAGUGCAGGGCCGAAGAAGCAUAUACACUUACAGAAGGCAAAUGUUUGUUUGCCAGUGGCAGUCCAUUUGGGCCAGUGAAACUCACAGAUGGGAGAAUCUUUACACCAGAUCAAGGAAACAAUGUAUAUAUUUUUCCAGGUGCGUCUUUAGCUGUUAUUCUCUGUAACACCCAGCAUAUUAGCGACAAUGUUUUCCUAGAAGCUGCAAAGGCAUUGACAAGCCAAAUGACGGAUGAAAAGUUAGCCCAAGGGAGACUUUACCCACCACUUGCUAAUAUUCAGAAAGUUUCUAUUAACAUUGCUAUUAAAGUUACAGAAUACCUAUAUGCUAACAAAAAUGGCUUUCCAAUACCCAGAACCUGAAGACAAGGCCAAAUAUGUUAAAGAAAGAAUAUGACGGAGUGAAUAUGAUUCCCUGCUGCCAGAUGUGUAUGAAUGGCCGGAAUCUGCUUCAAGCCCUCCUGUGAUAACAGAAUAGAAGCACUCCCCUGAUAAAUACUUCCUGUACUCCGGGGAACCCCUGUUUUACAGACAAGAAGAGAUAAUGUCCUCAGUUUUAUGGUGUUUUCUGUAUUUUGUUCUCCUGACCACUUUGGUUAACAUAUUUUUUCCAUAUGUCUCCACAUCUGUUGGGGUAGACCUGUUGAUGGAUUGCCGACCAGCACCCUACAAUCAGUUAAUUGUGAUGCUUUAAUUCUAACAUAAAUACCAUACCACAUCCAGGAGACAGAAAAAGUUUGUUUGUCAAUGUCUUCACUUGUACUCUAAUUCAGACUUGCCGAAGUACUUGCUAUUUAC
Molecule: non-coding RNA, 1564 nt
Organism: Chlorocebus sabaeus (green monkey)
Lineage: Eukaryota; Metazoa; Chordata; Mammalia; Primates; Cercopithecidae
Source: RefSeq, a predicted model, not a curated record